AUCCGAAUAGUAUAGUGGUUAUCACGUUUGCUUUUAUACGAAAAAGAUUUCCGGUUCGAACCCGGGUUCGAGUA
Molecule: transfer RNA, 74 nt
Filed under: Neocallimastix californiae
Lineage: Eukaryota; Fungi; Neocallimastigomycota; Neocallimastigomycetes; Neocallimastigales; Neocallimastigaceae
Also listed under: 1 other name
Rfam family: tRNA
About the family: Transfer RNA (tRNA) molecules are approximately 80 nucleotides in length. Their secondary structure includes four short double-helical elements and three loops (D, anti-codon, and T loops).
Source: Rfam by way of RNAcentral